CACAGCAAUUGUUGAUUUGAAUUGAGAUACUCUGAGGCAGGUAGUGAUUGCUUUGCAGGGGAGCACUUGCUACUGGAUGGUUUGUUUCUCCUACUUAGUAUUACAUAAUGUGCUUUCUUCCAUUUUUACAUAUGAUCCUCACGGUGAGCAUGGAUGAUAGACUUUGUAUACAGAGAAAGAAAAUGGGACUCACGGAGGGUGAAUGACUUCCUGAAGAUCGCACAGCUAGAAAGUGGCAGAGCUGGGACUUAAAUUUAGAGUUCCUUGCUGCAAAUCUAGUGCUUGGUCAGUCUUCCGCACCAGGCAGCCUCCUGAGCUCUUAUAAAUCAAGUCAGGCUGAACUGGGAGAAUCUGGGAAGCCGGAUUGCAGAGCCCUCUCUGUUAACUCCCAAAGGAAAAUGAUACAGUUUGAGAGUAUGAGCUGAUGGUAGGACUCUGUCUUCUUUCUGACAUUAUCUUCAUGGAACAUUUUGGUCAUAUAGAGAUAAGAGAGAGUCCCAGAACGACGUCCAAAGGAAUUUCAGGACCACAAAGCCUGGAACCGUCAGAAAACAUUAGCCAUCUGGAUCACUGAACGAAAGCACUCCUUUGAAAUGUGAAGGAUUCUUAUAUGGAUGUCCACCCCACCCAGAAGGCCAUUGUUGUUGCUGGUAGGAGGUAAUCUACAAUUUGUUGCCUACACCACCGUGUUAUGCAUUGAUUCCUACAUCAAGAGAUGUGUGGGGUAUGUGCCAUUUUCCUCCUCUUUACAAAUGAGAAAAAUGAGUCUCAGAUUAAAUUACUUGCCCACAUUCAUGCAGCUAGUAAUGGAGAGAUGUGGAAUACAAAGCCAUAUUAUUUCUUAAUUCAAAUGCUGUGCUCUCAGCCACGACGCGAUCAUGACUCCAAGUAGACAUUUGCUGAUUGAAUGGAGUUGAAUCGCACUACAGGAGCGACUGUGGCUAAGAGCCAAAUGUCUAGUACAGACAGAAAUGUGCAGGAGUAGAGAAGGGUGGAUUGCCGGGAGAAAGCAUGGUGCUGUCACACAGGACCAUUGGUGGCCUUGCCAUCGGGUCAAGCAAGCAGUUGGUGCUGGGGAGUAUGGGGAGGGCACACGGGCCUUCCUAGGCAGUUCGAAAAGGAUGAGACUGUAUAGAAAAACUGACUUAAGAUGAACCCUGCCAAAAAGGGCUACUCCGUCACCAGCCCCGUCUGAGGUCAUAUUUCAAAGACUGGCUCAGGGCCACUGGCUGGGGUGCAGGGCUGUGAGAUCAUGGCUGAGCAAUCUGACUUUUAAAAAAUAUAAGGACCAACUUGGGAGUUUUAUCGCAGUUCUGCCGCCCAGGCAUGAAGUCAGCUGGCCUGCUCGUGACAGGGAGCGUUUCACUUGUAAUUAGUUGGGUGGUUUUUUUUUCUUUUUUCUUUUUUUUAAGUUCUGCCUAAACAGCGAUGUGGUGUGAGUGAGCCCGUUCCCUUGGAGCUGCCCCACAGCAGUAGCGGAGAUUUGACUCCAUGAAAGUGCAUUAUCGCAAUGUUGGCUUUGUGUGUAAGCAUCGUAUGUGUAUGUAAAAAUGUGGAAACUUCCUUAAUAAAGAGAUGUCCUUUUUGUACAUUUGCACUUGUGACAGACAAAGGAAUGAGGAAAAUGGGGUCCAAUCCUCAUCUAUAUGACUGGAGCAAGGACUUGGAAUGAGAACCCACAAAGGCUUAUUGACUUUCCACCCUGAAACUGGAUCUCGGAGCAACCAACCUGUGGACAAAUUGGAAUCUACAAAGCCACACGCUUCUUCAGGUAGGGAAGGGCGGAGGAAGAGAGGCUAAGUCUCCCUCCUGGAGAUCUUUGAUGGGUCAGAACCCCCCCUUAAAGAAACAGAGAGGAUUGGUUCUUGUUUACCAGCCAGAUAGCUCACUGUCUCCCCAGGGAGUACUAAGAGACCAGACGAGAGGCACAGUGUGUUCAGGGGAAAGCUCCCUCAUAGCAGUAACUAUUUAGAGUGGGGCAAACUUGUCCCUCAAAUGUUCCUCGUGUUUUCGUCAUAGUCAACCCAUAAUCAGUGUGGGAUGUGGCCAUCCC
Callithrix jacchus (white-tufted-ear marmoset) is the source of this 2053-nucleotide non-coding RNA. NCBI's taxonomy places the organism in Eukaryota, Metazoa, Chordata, Mammalia, Primates, Cebidae. The record is from RefSeq and is a predicted model, not a curated record.